RNAcentral lists this non-coding RNA (21 nucleotides) under Arabidopsis thaliana (thale cress). The record is from RNAcentral. Lineage: Eukaryota; Viridiplantae; Streptophyta; Magnoliopsida; Brassicales; Brassicaceae.
CGGGUCGCCGCGUGCCGGCCG